GACGUAGGUGGCAAGCGUUGUCCGGAGUUAUUGGGCGUAAAGCGCGCGCAGGCGGUUCGGUAAGUCCAUGGUGAAAGCGCCCGGCUCAACUGGGCGAGUGCCGUGGGGACUGCCGAGCUGGAGGGGAGCAGAGGCGAGUGGAAUUCCGGGUGUAGUGGUGAAAUGCGUAGAGAUCCGGAGGAACACCGGUGGCGAAGGCGGCAUCCUGGACCGGUAUUGACGCUGAGGCGCGAAAGCGUGGGGAGCGAACAGG
This 253-nucleotide ribosomal RNA is filed under the name uncultured bacterium. RNAcentral describes it as "partial 16S ribosomal RNA". It matches the Rfam family "Bacterial small subunit ribosomal RNA", at positions 524 to 776 of the family's 1533-position model. The record is from RNAcentral.